Molecule: small nucleolar RNA, 132 nt
Filed under: Dasypus novemcinctus (nine-banded armadillo)
Lineage: Eukaryota; Metazoa; Chordata; Mammalia; Cingulata; Dasypodidae
Description: Small nucleolar RNA SNORA31 (ENSDNOG00000030906.1)
Rfam family: Small nucleolar RNA SNORA31
About the family: ACA31 (SNORA31) belongs to the H/ACA class of snoRNAs which are thought to guide the sites of modification of uridines to pseudouridines. ACA31 is predicted to guide the pseudouridylation of U3713 in 28S rRNA and U218 in 18S rRNA.
Source: RNAcentral
CUGCAUCUCUGACAGCCCUGGAGCAGUUCCUGUCUCCUGCUAAGGUUUCCACUACAGAUGCAAGAAAAAGAAGUCCUUGCACUUUCUGUCUGUCUGGUUGUGGCAGCCAAGACUGAAUGGGGGAAUACAGGA